UUCCUGGCUCAGGACGAACGCUGGCGGCGUGCCUAAUACAUGCAAGUCGAACGCUUCUUUUUCCACCGGAGCUUGCUCCACCGGAAAAAGAGGAGUGGCGAACGGGUGAGUAACACGUGGGUAACCUGCCCAUCAGAAGGGGAUAACACUUGGAAACAGGUGCUAAUACCGUAUAACAAUCGAAACCGCAUGGUUUUGAUUUGAAAGGCGCUUUCGGGUGUCGCUGAUGGAUGGACCCGCGGUGCAUUAGCUAGUUGGUGAGGUAACGGCUCACCAAGGCCACGAUGCAUAGCCGACCUGAGAGGGUGAUCGGCCACAUUGGGACUGAGACACGGCCCAAACUCCUACGGGAGGCAGCAGUAGGGAAUCUUCGGCAAUGGACGAAAGUCUGACCGAGCAACGCCGCGUGAGUGAAGAAGGUUUUCGGAUCGUAAAACUCUGUUGUUAGAGAAGAACAAGGAUGAGAGUAACUGUUCAUCCCUUGACGGUAUCUAACCAGAAAGCCACGGCUAAUC
RNAcentral lists this ribosomal RNA (515 nucleotides) under Enterococcus faecium. RNAcentral's name for it is "bacterial SSU rRNA". It matches the Rfam family "Bacterial small subunit ribosomal RNA", at positions 16 to 502 of the family's 1533-position model. The record is from RNAcentral. Lineage: Bacteria; Bacillati; Bacillota; Bacilli; Lactobacillales; Enterococcaceae.